UUGUUCGUGUAAGAUUGAAAAUACAGUGCAAUACCGGCGCCGGCCAGUAGGUGUAGGCGCUGUGUGUAUGGAGAGAGAGAGACAGGGAUAGGAAGCUACAUAUUAUCCCAGUUUCUCUCUCCUGACUGAAUCCGCAGGGGAGCAACACAUACAGCCAGAGAGCCUACAGAUCAGGUAAGUGAGCCAAUGGGCAGAGAGAGCCUAUAGAUCAGGUAAGUGAGGCAGGGGGGAGCAGAGAGCCUAUAGCUCAGGGAAGUGAGGCGUGGGGGAGCAGAGAGCCUAUAGAUCAGGGAAGUGAGGCAUUGGGGGGGACAGAGAUGGCCUACAGAUCAGGGAAGUGAGGCAUGGGGAGGCAGCCUACAGGAAGGGUCAGCAAGGAGAAGAAAGGUAAAGUAAGAGAAGGAAUAGAAAUGAGCAGAAAGGGACAGCAAGGAGCACAACAGGUAAAGUAGGAGAAGGAGCACAAAGGAACACAAAUGAGCAUGAAGGGGCUGGAAGGUAAAGCAGCACAAAUGUAAAGUAGAAGGAGCAGAAAGCGUCAGCAAGGAGCUGAAAAUGGCAGGAAGGGACAGAAGGAGCGCAAAGGUGAAGUAGGAGAAGGAACAGGAAGGGGCAGCAAGGAGUAGGAAGGGUCUGAAAAGAGCACAAAGGUAAAGGAACAGGAAGAAGCAGAAGGAGCACAAAGGUAAUGUUGGAGAAGGAACAGAAAAGGGUAGCAAGGACCAGAAAGGGAUCAGAAAGAGGAAGGGGGGAGUAAAAUAAGCAGAAAGUAACAGAAAGGUAAAUGAGCAGGAGUUAAGGAGGAGAGAAGACAGUGUCAGAAGAAAAAGAAGACUUUGUCAAAUAAAAGAGAAGAAAAGGAGAUUGGAGCAGGAAGGACAAAUGAAGUGAACCCUCCACUUUAUUCUGGACACCACAUCAUAAGACUUUGGUACCUGGGCCUGGCAGGGAAACUUUGGACCUCCUCAUCUCCCCAGGUAAAAAAAAUAUCAGUGUUAAUGUGUUCACUUUUAUUUACUGAGUGUCAGGAAGCAUAGAGUGCCGCUGGGGAGGGGUGUCGCUGAUUGGCUAGAGCGGUCAACUGGCACUCUAAGUCAAUCAGUAGCUCCCUAUUCAUAAAAAAGUCAAACAUUUUUAUGAACUGGGAACUAGUGAUUGGCAUAGAGCAUCAACUGACCACUCUAGUCAAUCUGUAGCACCCAUGCCUGAUGUCAAUCUGAACUUCCUGACACUCGGUUUCAGAAGCCGAAUACCACUGAGCGACCUGGAAAUCUGGAGCUGGAUGAAGUCUUUGGGGUUAAACCAUUUGAGAGCAGUUUAACCCCUUAAAGGAAAGAGAGCACCCAGGGGCUUCCUGGCAUCAUAGCAUUUUCAUUUAGAUGAAGUUGUUGUGGUGACCAGAAUGUUCCUUUAAUUUGCUUAAAGGAACAAUAUAGUGUCAGGAAUACAAACAUGUACUCCUGACAGCAUAGUUGUGAAAACCCUAUUCACCCUGGCUUUAUGUGAUAAUGACUAUGCUCCUCCCCUUCAUGACACUGUCAAAAAGGGACCAAGCAUGGAUGUCAUUACAAUUAUGCCCCCCCUGGAAAAAUUCCUGCGGACACCCAUGCCCUAUAAGCUGUCCCUAGUAACCUACAGCACAUCUGUCCAACAGGCCUUGGAACACUUUUGGUGCUGCACAUAAGACAAGCAGUGGCUUGUCCACCACCCCCCUCGCUACAGACUUUGCCCGUAAAGACAGACGCUAACCCUAUGGUCCCUAAAAUAAUGUAGCUUUGGUAUUAGUGGGGGGGACUGCAACGGGGCAUAGGGCUUGUCAUAGUCCAUCUCAUUCAUCUCCUGAUGAAUGAAAGUCGGUGUAGCCUGAUCUGCUGUUUUCUCUAAACACUUCUUAUUUCAGGGAAGAACACAACAAACAAUAAGAGCAAGGAUGAUCAACAUUAUCAGGACCACCACACCUAUUUGAGCCAGAACUUUUUGCCAACCAGAUAUCCACCCAAACCAUCUUUCCCAUGGGUCAGUGACUCCAGAGUUCCUUUUCAAUUCUUCUGAGAGACUCUCUAAUUUCUCUUUUGCCAGAGUUACCUUGCCAUUUGGGCCUGUGUUGUCUGGAAUGUAGGUGCAACAUGUCAUAGUGUCAAGGAGUAUUUUACAUACCCCCCUUUUUCCGCUAGGAUCAUAUCUAAGGCCAUUCUAUUCUGGAAAGUCACCUGGGAUGUGGCAUGAAGUUGCUCUGCCACCCCUGGAGGGCAUCUCUUGUAUAGUUUACAAACCGUUGUUGGUUAUAAUAUAUAUAAUUAAUCCAAUUCAAAUUCUUAUUGGCCAUGAUGAUAGGGAGCAUGGAUUCAAACCCUGCUGCAACUUCAUCUCUUGCCUUGAAUUCAUUAGGCACCCCCCUUGGCACUCCAAUGGAAUCUAUAUAUACAUGGGGGGCGAAACUGCCAUUUACAGGAGUGCCUCUUCUGGUUCUGAUGUGUGAGUGUGACUUGUCAUGUGCAACUUGGUGGCUGUCAGAUAUAAUGUGUAUUGGCAUAAUAACUUUGGCCAGGGUGCACCCCCCCACCAUAAAUUUUCCAGCCUUGACCUAAGCUGCAUAUCCACACAUAACCAAUACAUGUCCCCCAGGGAUUUGACAUGUUUUUAUAGUAGGGCAAGUGGAUCUGUGCUAUAGGUGGCCCACUUUUUACCAGUGAAAUUACUCAAGGACCGGCCUUUUCCACCAUACAGUUGCAAGAAAAAGUAUGUGAACCCUUUGGAAUGAUAUGGAUUUCUGCACAAAUUGGUCAUAAAAUGUGAUCUGAUCAUCAUCUAAGUC
Molecule: non-coding RNA, 2815 nt
Organism: Pelobates cultripes (western spadefoot toad)
Lineage: Eukaryota; Metazoa; Chordata; Amphibia; Anura; Pelobatidae
Source: the annotation of a GenBank genome assembly